GCCUCUGUAGCUCAGUGGAUAGAGCAAAAGCCUUCUAAUCUUUUGGUCGCAGGUUCGAUUCCUGCCAGGGGCA
Molecule: transfer RNA, 73 nt
Filed under: Conyzicola lurida
Lineage: Bacteria; Bacillati; Actinomycetota; Actinomycetes; Micrococcales; Microbacteriaceae
Also listed under: 1 other name
Rfam family: tRNA
About the family: Transfer RNA (tRNA) molecules are approximately 80 nucleotides in length. Their secondary structure includes four short double-helical elements and three loops (D, anti-codon, and T loops). Further hydrogen bonds mediate the characteristic L-shaped molecular structure. tRNAs have two regions of fundamental functional importance: the anti-codon, which is responsible for specific mRNA codon recognition, and the 3' end, to which the tRNAs corresponding amino acid is attached (by aminoacyl-tRNA synthetases). tRNAs cope with the degeneracy of the genetic code in two manners: having more than one tRNA (with a specific anti-codon) for a particular amino acid; and 'wobble' base-pairing, i.e. permitting non-standard base-pairing at the 3rd anti-codon position.
Source: Rfam by way of RNAcentral